RNAcentral lists this ribosomal RNA (253 nucleotides) under uncultured bacterium. Its description in RNAcentral is "partial 16S ribosomal RNA". It matches the Rfam family "Bacterial small subunit ribosomal RNA", at positions 524 to 776 of the family's 1533-position model. The record is from RNAcentral.
UACAGAGGUGGCAAGCGUUGUUCGGAAUUACUGGGCGUAAAGGGCGCGUAGGCGGCCUUCUAAGUCAGACGUGAAAUCCCCCGGCUUAACCUGGGAACUGCGUCUGAUACUGGAAGGCUUGAGUGCGGGAGAGGGAUGUGGAAUUCCAGGUGUAGCGGUGAAAUGCGUAGAUAUCUGGAGGAACACCGGUGGCGAAGGCGGCAUCCUGGACCGACACUGACGCUGAGGCGCGAAAGCGUGGGUAGCAAACAGG